This 495-nucleotide ribosomal RNA is filed under the name uncultured bacterium. RNAcentral describes it as "partial 16S ribosomal RNA". It matches the Rfam family "Bacterial small subunit ribosomal RNA", at positions 28 to 507 of the family's 1533-position model. The record is from RNAcentral.
GACGAACGCUGGCGGCGUGCCUAAUACAUGCAAGUAGAACGCUGAAGGAGGAGCUUGCUCUUCUGGAUGAGUUGCGAACGGGUGAGUAACGCGUAGGUAACCUGCCUGGUAGCGGGGGAUAACUAUUGGAAACGAUAGCUAAUACCGCAUAAGAGUAGAUGUUGCAUGACAUUUGCUUAAAAGGUGCAAUUGCAUCACUACCAGAUGGACCUGCGUUGUAUUAGCUAGUUGGUGGGGUAACGGCUCACCAAGGCGACGAUACAUAGCCGACCUGGGAGGGUGAUCGGCCACACUGGGACGGAGACACGGCCCAGACGCCUACGGGAGGCAGCAGUAGGGAAUCUUCGGCAAUGGACGGAAGUCUGACCGAGCAACGCCGCGGGAGUGAAGAAGGUUUUCGGAUCGUAAAGCUCUGUUGUAAGAGAAGAACGAGUGUGAGAGUGGAAAGUUCACACUGUGACGGUAUCUGACCAGAAAGGGACGGCUAACUACGUG